GAUGAACGCUGGCGGCGUGCCUAAUACAUGCAAGUCGAGCGAACAGACGAGGAGCUUGCUCCUCUGACGUUAGCGGCGGACGGGUGAGUAACACGUGGAUAACCUACCUAUAAGACUGGGAUAACUUCGGGAAACCGGAGCUAAUACCGGAUAAUAUCUUGAACCGCAUGGUUCAAUAGUGAAAGACGGUUUUGCUGUCGGUUGUCGAUGGAUCCGCGCCGCAUUAGCUAGUUGGUAGAGUAGUGGCUUACCACGGCAACGAUGGGUAGCCGACAUGGGAGGGGGACCGGGGACAAGGGUCCUGAGAGAGGGACCAGACGGGAAUGUUCGGCAGUGGGGGAGAAUUUUACGGAAUGGGCGGAAGUGAGAGGCAGAGGUGUCGGGUUCGUAAAAAUCUGUUAUGGGGUAAAAACAAAUUUGGAAGUAACUGUACAGUGCGUGACGGUACUGAGUAAAAAAGCACCGGCUAACUACGUG
Molecule: ribosomal RNA, 477 nt
Filed under: uncultured bacterium
Lineage: Bacteria
Description: partial 16S ribosomal RNA
Rfam family: Bacterial small subunit ribosomal RNA
Source: RNAcentral